RNAcentral lists this ribosomal RNA (668 nucleotides) under uncultured bacterium. RNAcentral describes it as "bacterial SSU rRNA". It matches the Rfam family "Bacterial small subunit ribosomal RNA", at positions 136 to 793 of the family's 1533-position model. The record is from RNAcentral.
GCGGGGGAUAACAGGAGGAAACUCCUGCUAAUACCGCAUAGCCAUGAGCACCGCAUGGAGCUCAUGCCAAAUAUCCUUUAUGGGAUAGCGCAGGGAUGGACCUAUGGCGCAUUAGCUGGUUGGCGGGGCAACGGCCCACCAAGGCAACGAUGCGUAGCCGGCCUGAGAGGGCGGACGGCCACAUUGGGACUGAGACACGGCCCAGACUCCUACGGGAGGCAGCAGUAGGGAAUUUUCGGCAAUGGGGGAAACCCUGACCGAGCAACGCCGCGUGAGCGAAGAAGGCCUUCGGGUCGUAAAGCUCUGUUGUAAAGGAAGAACGGCGCAUACAGGAAAUGGUAUGCGAGUGACGGUACUUUACCAGAAAGCCACGGCUAACUACGUGCCAGCAGCCGCGGUAAUACGUAGGUGGCGAGCGUUAUCCGGAAUCAUUGGGCGUAAAGAGGGAGCAGGCGGCCGCAAGGGUCUGUGGUGAAAGACCGAAGCUAAACUUCGGUAAGCCAUGGAAACCGGGCGGCUAGAGUGCGGAAGAGGAUCGUGGAAUUCCAUGUGUAGCGGUGAAAUGCGUAGAUAUAUGGAGGAACACCAGUGGCGAAGGCGACGGUCUGGGCCGCAACUGACGCUCAUUCCCGAAAGCGUGGGGAGCAAAUAGGAUUAGAUACCGGUAG